UGACAUAACUUGGGUGGAUGUACAAGCAAAGAUAAAUAGGCAGCUUUUCACUGAAUUUUCAAGCAGAACAAGAAAUGUCAGUGAAAACGUGUGUUUCUAAUAUGCUCAAGGAAUUUCAACAAAGGAAGCUAAUACUGAUGAAUUAAUUUGCUGAAACUGCAACCAAGGGAGUUUGUUUGUUUGGUAUUCAAACUUAAAUGGAUCCUGUUUCCAAUAAACAGCAUGAAAGGGGAGCAUUUCCAGGGCACUGCCAUGCCAAAUGGAAGACGGCUUGUUCGCUGCCUGAUGAAAUUUGGGAUGAAAGACAGCAACCACAAUCCCUAAUCUCAUCUCAGAACUGCCAGAGGAGAACUGUAGAAACUACUCGGACUGCUGCAAAGUCUGGCCAGAAGGAUGGGCAAGAUGUUCCAUUGGUUUUGAAACUGUAACACCUGGAGCACAGCACUUCUGAUCCAUGACAGAGUAUCCUAACUGCAAGGGAGUCAAUAAUUUGCUGAAACUGACAGAGAGAAUUACACACUGCCCUCUGUGUUUAUAAACAAAUAAAAAGAGGUGGGAGAAAGCUGAGUGUCUGAAG
RNAcentral lists this long non-coding RNA (577 nucleotides) under Lonchura striata (white-rumped munia). RNAcentral's name for it is "domestica (Bengalese finch) lncRNA (ENSLSDG00000016770.1)". The record is from RNAcentral. Lineage: Eukaryota; Metazoa; Chordata; Aves; Passeriformes; Estrildidae.